This 14870-nucleotide long non-coding RNA is filed under the name Ananas comosus (pineapple). RNAcentral describes it as "long non-coding RNA (ACOM_LNC023455)". The record is from RNAcentral. Lineage: Eukaryota; Viridiplantae; Streptophyta; Magnoliopsida; Poales; Bromeliaceae.
ACUCAUUGAGGCGCUCCAUCAGUCGGUCCUGCUCCGCUCCCUCGACUAACACGAAAAAAACAGCUCCAAUCGGGGGCGCCUGAACAGGUGGCGCCGCCAAAGCCUCCUCCUGGGGCACGGCCACGGGCGCCGCACGCGACGAACUCGUCGCGGGGGACGGCGCUCUGGGCGCGACGUCUACAACUGGUGCUGGCGGUGUAGGGGCCUGGGUCUCCCUGGAAGCUGCCGCCUGCUGCAGAAGAAGGUCCUCCAGGCGCUUCAUCCGCGCCUCCUGUCGGCGCGCUGCCUCAGUCUGCUGUCGGGCCGCCUCUGCAUGCUGCAUCACCAAGUCGGUGAGAGUCGCCAGCUGGCUCCUCAGCUCACGGACCUCGCUGGAUCCGGAGGUAGCGGAGGUCUCGACCUCCUCCAGAUUUGCCGCGUUAUCCGUCCCGGCAGAUUGGGAGCGUGUGAUCGGCAUCGCACUACAACAUCAUAAAAGCGUAAGUUAGCAAACCUACGCUAUCGCAUCCCCGCUCAAUGAUAAUACCCAAAUCAGGCGAAAGUAAGGAAGUGUGCUUCACUACUAACUCCCGAUGUUACGUUGUCCGCCGCAAACGUAACCCUCCGCGAAGUUAGGAGCUAUACACUUCAAUUUAACUCUACUUUCUAGAGUUAUCCAAAAUACCCAAUCGAGAUACUUUCGCUUACAUGUCAAAUAGACCUCGUCUCUCACGAGCCUAUUUCCUAUGGUCCAACCGGCCUAAGGUUUGUUAGGUCCCCUAAGACUCAACCCUAGGCUCUGAUACCAAACUAAUCUGUCACGCCCCGGGACCCAGCGGAAGCCCGCCCGGCACGUGCACAGACUCGCCGUACGUCUAAGACAUACAAGGUGUUUAAAACAAAGCGGUAAACAAAGUAAUAAAAAGAAAGCAUCUAUGAGUAUCAGAGCAAAGUACUACGAAGUGCUACAACAAGGAGAAAAUCAUAAAACUAAUAAUCCACUAAGUAAAACAUAAGGUAAUACAAAAGGAGCCCCAAAGCAAAUACAAAUCUGAAUACAAGGUGGUCUCUCUAUACAUGGUGCCAAAACUCUCCCUCUCUCUAAACACAAACAAAAGAAGGAGUAACCACCUAUCGCAAAACGGAACCUUUCCCGAGCUAGCUACGCGACACUUUUGCCGCGAUCCCGUGCCUCCGCUGGUGCCGAAGGCUCUGAAAAGAAAAUAUAGAAACAGGGGCGUGAGAACUAUUGAAUAAUAGUUUCCAGUGGGCAAUUACUGACUUCAGUGAAAUGCACCACUAGGCCCAAACUACAACAAAAAAGGGGUCAGUGAACAAGUAUAAGCCAAAGCACUAAGAACAACUAGAAAAUAAAUAUGAAUACUAUUCAACCAUGAUAUCUCUACUUAGCAUAAUUUGCAUAAGUACGAAAGCAACUACUACAUGUAUGCACAAGAGUACCCAACAUGCAAAUGCAUAAGUAUGCAACUAACCCAAUAUCCACAAUGUAAAUAGUAAAGAUGUCAUUGUUUGCUAUUCUAGUCCAUGUCCACUUGUCACUUAAAUUAUUUCCAGUUCAACUUUGAUAAAACCCACCCGAAGGCUGUCUGGUAUAAGACCCACCCGAAGGCUGUCUGGCUUUACCGUGCCUAAUGGCCCCGUGGUAGUCAACAUCCCCACCCUAGGAAUGAGCCUUUCCUAUGGCAAUCUACUUUGGCACCCAAUCCCGCACGGCGAACAUAUCGCGAUGGCCAACUCCGGAGUGCCGACUUGUAGGGAGCGACCCUCACAAGCAUGUGCGAAUGAGCACAAUGGCAAGCAUGCAUAUCCGUGUGUCUCAAGUACCAAGUCCUCAUGUCUAAAACAUGGAAUAUGUGUCAACUGUGUCGAUGGCCUAUCACUAUGUCAUCAUGUCUAAAACAUGGAAUAUAGUCGAUGUCCAAUGGCCUAUCACUGCAUCUCAAGUAAUGUUUUCAUAGUUUACUAGUUUUAAGUGCCCCUUUAUGACACUAUCAAUCAACGAGUCCAAGCAUGGCAUUUAUGUUCAUGAAUACAUAAUUCUACUCAUUUCAAACAUAGGAGACAUGUUCUCAACUUACAAGGGUAACCACCUUUCACAAAGCAUGCAAUCUACACAUAUAGCCCUACUAUAUAGAGUGCGAGUUUCAUGAUAUAUAAGGCAUGCAUUUCAAGUGUUCUAAAAUUCACAUAAUUCAUAUUUAGCAUGGAUUUGCAUCCCAAAAUAUUUUACGAUAAGCAUAGAAAACUUAGGGGCCAUUUUGCACCGCAUUCAAGAAGCUAAACCCACCGAAGAUACCGAAACCCUUCGUAAGCUCCGACGAAGGUGUCGACUAGUCUCCUAGCACCCUAAAGAUGUAGGAACAAGGGUCAAACAAAUCUUACGAUCAACCCUAAGCUCAAUCAAUAAGCAACCUACGCUAAGGUGGAGAAAACUCACCUCAAGUGAAGGAAUGCUCACUCAAACUCCAAAUGGGGGCAAGAACCCCUCCAAUCCAACCUAAAGGAAGGUUCUAAACCAAUCAAUAAGGUUCCAAAGCCCUCAAAUCAAAAAGCCCCAAAAUAAACCCUAAAUCCCAAAAUCUAGGGUUUCAUUUAGUAAAACCCAGAAAAACUAGUAUUAAAUGGGGAUUACAAGCUACCAACCUCAAGAGAAGCUUCAAUCCAAGCUCAAAACCAAGUAGAGUGGGAGUUUGAUCCACCACAAGGCUCCAACCGCGAGCUCCAAGCCACCAAGGGUGAGAAAUAAGGAAGAAGAUGAGGCUCCAAGGCCUCCAAGCAAGCUCCUCUCCUCUCCUUCUCCUUCUUCUCCUUUUUUUCUCUCUCUAAAAAUGGGUGUGAAGGGGAGAAAUGAGGAGAGAAGAGAGUGAAAUGGCCAUAUAGACCAUCAAGUGCAACAAAAUCCAGAAAAGCCCCUCAAAAACUCAAAUUCACUUCAGCCCGGUCUGGGAAGUUUUCGCCAAGAGGGACCGCUCUCCCCGACUUGGGACCGGUCUCUCAGCCUGCCCCGAAAAUCCAACGUUCGGGAACCGGUCUCUCCCCGCACGGGACCGGUCUCUCCCCGCGUAGACGCGCUCGGGGACCGGUCUCGCCUGCCAGGGACCGGUUGCCUCGCCAGCUGCCGCAACACUGUGCUGAGGGGACCGGUCUCUCAUAUCGGGACCGGUCCCCGAUAGUGAAAACUCUCAGGACUUGCCAAAACUCUAGAGAUCGAACUUUUAGGCCAGAAUACCAUCGACGGCCCUCCACCAAGUGUGGAAAAGUUCGGAAUACAUACCAAACACUCGAACCUCGCAAUUUGCAAAGGUCCAGUGUGCUAGACUGGUCGACAUCUCUGGUGAGUGUAGGACUGAGUCGGAGUCAUUUCUGCACGAAAUGGAUGUGAAAAUGGACUCAGUGCACUCAAAUAAGCAAAACUGGAGUUUCGCCAGUUUAAGCCGCGCAGAACUCGGUUUAGGGCGCCCAGAUCUUGAGUGCUGGAUUGAGCAAAACUGGAAGCCAAUUCGGAUCCAAUGUUCCGGGCGCCCAGAAGUGGGUCCGAAAGUUCACUUUGUAAAUACCGAUCGUGUUGACGCGUGGCAGGUGGUAGGUGAGGUCCGUCGGACCAGGAUAAGGGUAUAUCACACCGGGUGCGGAGGAAUCGAAGGGGAGCAUUUGUGUAGGCUGGAAGCUCUGGGCGCCCAGAACUGGGUUUAGGGCGCCCAGAUCUCGGAUUUUUUGUAGGGACAGCAGAUUGCAGCAAUUGUUCCUGAGGGUUAUCUCACCACUCUAGUACCCUAUAAAUACCUGGUAUACAUCCCCUUUGAGCUCUUUUCACCUAUUCUUCACAGAUAUCCUCUAUCUUGCAUCCUAAUCUCUCCAAACUACUCCAUUUGCUUCAAAGUUUCACAACUCCAAGAUUUCAAGGUGCAGAUUCUGCAGUUUUCCAGCGACGACUUUCAGUGUUUUGGUUCGUGCGUGACAUAGGGAGGUCGGAUUGCGACGAAACUUGGUUUAAUGGAUUCUAGACUUCUAUAGAAAUCCACGAAGCCCUGAAUUAUAGAUUUUAGUUGAGGUUAGCUUGGUCGUUUACUUGUGUUUCUGGACUGCUAGCAACAUUGAGCUGAAAAUGAGAUUUUUGAGCUUUUCUUGAUGCUAUCUUUGUAGGCAGUGGGAUUUUGGACCUGAGACACAUUCUCCAUUAUUAUUCACUAGAUUUGAGACCUUUCUCACCUGAUUUGGAGGUAAUUAGGUGAGUUUUGACAUUGCAAUUGAGAUUAAAUUAAGCUUUAGUGCUGAAAUAGUGAUAAUUGAUGGAAUUCAAUGUGUAGAGCUUGGAGAUAGCUUGAUUUCUAGUCUUGGAGGAUUUUUGUUGAUCCAGCAGGGAUUAGCAUUGGUUUGGGACCCUUCUUUGCUGCCAGGAUUAGCAAUUAAGGUGGGUGUAUCAUCGGUUUUACUCCUAAGAACAUAUUAGUCGACGUGUAUGAUUGCGGUUCUUGUAUAUCAUGUUGUAUCUCAAAUUCAUCGAUUGUAUCAUGUAUGAAAUCUGAAUUGAGAGCAUGAUUAUUAAUUAGUUGAAUAUACAUGUUGGACUUGGAACUUGACUUAGGAGAAAACCAGCAUUUUGACCCGUCAUAUGAUUCUACUACAUGAUUUAGCUUUAAUUAGGAGCCGUGCUUCGAUGGUAUUAGCGCAGUAUCAGCGCGGUGGAUAUCCGGGGUAGUUUAGAAUGCAUUUAUGCUCUUGCUGGGAUACCGAGCUUAUUUUACAGUAGAGUCUAGGCUGUUCCGGGCUGUCGGGUGCAGUCGGGGUGGACGGUGGACCCAGAUUCUUAUUUUUGGUCUCAGAUUGUGCCGAGGGCAUGUGGGUUUGGUCUCUAGACCUAUUUUGUCACGCCCCGGGACCCAGCGGAAGCCCGCCCGGCGCGUGUCCAGACCCGCCAUACAUCUAAAACAUAUAAGGCGUUUAAAACAAAGCGAUAAAUGAGACAAUAAAAAAAAACGACUAGAAGUAUCAGAGCAAUAUACAACAUCUAGAAAUUAAAGCAAAGUGAAGAGUAGCGAGCUAAAAUCACUGAUAAACCAUAAAGUAGUACAACCAUAAGUCCGAAUACAAGAACUAAAAGAGUACAUAGGUGGUCUCUAUACAUAGUAAACAAAAUCUCUCACUCUUCCAAAAUACAAAGAGAGGGAACUACCUAAGAGCAGAAAGUAAAUCCUCGCUAUCUAGCUAGCGAUCCCCUUGCCGCGGUCCCGUGCCUCCGCCGGUGUAGAGGGUUCUGAAAAGAAAACAUAAAACAGAGGGCGUGAGAACUAUUAAAUAAUAGUUCCCAGUGGGCAAUUACUGACUUCAGUGAAAUGCACCACUAGGCCCAAAACUAGGCAAGUAAGGUAAGUAAAAUAUUAUGAACAAAUAAUUCACUAAAAUGAAAGCUCACUAUGGCAUGAUGUCGCUACUUUCAUCAGUAAUAAUCUACCACAUAAUCUCUACUUAGCAUGGAUUUGCAUAAGUAAUAACUAUCACAUGAUCUCUACUUAGUAUGAAUUUGCAUCAGUAAGAAAAAGCAACUACUACAAGCAUAUGCACAAGAGUAUCCAACAUGUAAAUGCAUGAGUAUGUAACUAACCCAAUGUUUACAAUGUAAAUAGUAAAGAUGUCAUUGUUUACUAUUCUAGUCAAUGUCCAAAAGGUACAAUAUGUCACCAGUAACCCAAUCCUGUGGAAUCUACCCGUAGGUAGUCCGGCCUGCGCCGUGCCAACAAUGGCCACGUGGUAGUCAACAUCCCCACUCUAGUAAUGAGCCUUCCCCAGGGCAUCCCAUUUUGGCGCCUAAUCCCGCACGGGCGAGCAUAUGUCGCGAUGGCUAUCUCCGGAGUGCCGACUUGUAGGGAGCGACCCUCAUAAGUAUGUGCGAAUGAGCACAAUGGCAUGCAAGCGAAUAAGUCCGUCUCAGGUCCCAGUGGUUCAUCACUGUUUCAUCGGAUCUAAAAUCCGGAAUACAGCACAUGUCCGAAAGGCCUGCCUCUAUGUCAUCGUGUCUAAAACACGGAAUAUAUUAACUGUCUCAAUGGCCUAUCUCAAUGUCAUCACGUCUAAAACAUGGAAUAUAGUAGAUUUCCAGUGGCCUAUCAUCGUGUCUCUAAGUUGCAGUUCAACAAUUUUCUAGUUCAAGUGCCCCUUUAUGACACUUUUACUCACUAAGUCAUAGCAUGACAAUAAUGUUCAAGAGUACAUGAUUCUCGUCAUUUUCCACAUAAGAGGCAUAUUUCCAAGUUGCAAUAAGGAAUCCGUAGCACAUGCAUGAAUACUACUCAUAAGGCUCUACUACAUAGAGUGAAGUUUUCAUGAUACAUAAUGCAUGUGUUUUAAGCGUUUCAAAUUUCAUAUAAAUUCCAUUUAACAUGAAUAUGCAUGUAUUUAUAGUAUACGAAAACAUUUAACCACAUAGGAGGCAUUUCCUCCCAUUUCAAUGAAGCCAAACCCACCAACGUCUUCGCGGCUUGUCGAAAACUCCGACGAAGGUGUCCACUAGCCUUCUAGCACCCUAGAGGUGUAGAAAUAAGAGUCACAUGAACCUUACGAACAACACUAAGCUCAAACAUUAAGCUAUUCAAGCUAAGGCGGAGAAAACUCACCGAAUGCUAAGAAAUCUCCCAUGAUCUCCAAAAGGGAGCUAGAGUCCCUCAAGUCCAACCUAAAUCAAAGUUCUAAACCAAUCAAUUUGGUUCUAGAAGCUACAAAUCCAAAAUCCCAAAUUCUAACCAUAAAAUCCAAAAUCUAGGGUUUCAUCAUGAGAAAUCCAUCGAACCAUGUAUUAAAUGGAAAAUACAUGUUACUAACCUCUUAAGUAGCCUCAAACCAAGUCCAAAAUCAGCUAGGGUUGAAGGUCUCCUCUCCAACAAGCUCCUCUCAAAGCUCCAAGUCUUCAACCAUGGAGAAAACCCAACAAAUAGCAAAGAGGAGAAGAAAGGAGAGAUCAAAACACCAUAAAAUCCACCAAAAAUGAAGAUCAAACAAGGGGAGGGAGACUCACCUUGAUCUCCACUGAACUAGGGCUCAAAACCCUAUCUAAGGGGGUUGGGGUCACUUAUAUAGGUGUUGCAAUAAUUACAAAAACACCCCUUCACGAAACAACCCAAACUGCAUUGUGUACUAGUACACGGGUUUGUUUACCGGUACACAUCUUGCGAACCAGCCCAACCGGUACACAAGCCCCGUACCGGUACAGCCAUCAGUGUGUACCGGUACAGCCAUCAACCCUAUACCGGUACACAGCCUUACUGAGGCUACCCGAGAGCUGACCAAAAAUUCGAUUUUUCGAAUUUUGGUGCUAAGUUUUAAACCUCAAUUCUCGGGACUCGAACCAUAGGUCGGAACACUGUCAACGACCCUCUACAAAAUGUGAGAAAGUUCAGAAUACGAAACAAACACUCGAACCUUGCAAUUUGUAAAGAUCCAGUGCGUUACAUUCACCCCUCCUAAAAAGGCGUUUGGUCCGCAAAACUCGAAAGCAACGUACCUCAAGAUUCCAUCUGAAAAAGAUGGAGAUAACGCUCUAGCAAGGCGCUCUCUAGCUCCCACGUAGCCUCUCGCUCCCCGUGGUUGCUCCAAAGGACCUUCACAUAUGGAAUAUCCCGAUUCCGCAACUUUUUCACCUCGCGAGCCAAAAUCUUCACUGGUUGCUCCUCGAAGCUUAAAUCCUCAUGCAGCUCCGCUGGUAUAGCCUCCAAAACGUGAGCUGGGUCAUGUAUGUAUUUCCGUAGGACCGAUACAUGAAAUACAUUGUGCACGCCCGAUAGAUUCGGCGGUAGGGCAAGUCGAUACGCUACCGGGCCUAUACGUUCCAAAAUCUCAUACGGUCCAAUGAAUCGGGGGCUCAACUUUCCCUGAAUCCCGAAUCUCUUGAUUCCUCUAGUCGGCGAGACCUUCAAGAAAACAUGGUCUCCAACUUGGAAUUCCAAGUCUCGCCGCCGUUGAUCAGCAUAGCUCCUCUGUCUACUCUGUGCCGUCAAAAGUCGCUCCCGAGCAAUUCGAACUUUGUCCUCAGCUUCCUGGAGCACAUCAGGGCCCAAAGCCAAUCUCUCGCCUACUUCACUGCAAUGAAGUGGCGAUCUACACUUCCGUCCAUAAAGUGCUUCGAAGGGCGCCAUCUUGAUGCUUGCUUUAUAACUAUUGUUAUAAGCAAACUCCGCCAUAGGUAGAUGCUGCGACCAUCCUCCCUGGAAGUCUAUCACACAUGCUCGGAGCAUAUUCUCUAAAGUCUGAAUGGUGCGCUCUGACUGCCCGUCACUCUGAGGGUGGAAAGCAGUGCUGAAGUCCAGUCGGGUGCCCAAGGCGUCCUGCAGACUCCUCCAAAAUUGAGACACAAACUGAGUGUCUCGAUCCGAUACUAUCGACGUAGGCACUCCGUGAAGUCGCACAAUCUCAUCAAGGUACACUUGUGCGAGCUUCUCUCCGGUCCAAGUAGUGUGGAUAGAUAUGAAGUGCGCCGACUUUGUCAACCUAUCCACGAUCACCCAAAUAGCAUCAUGCCCAGCCUGAGAGCGGGGCAAUCCAGUCACGAAAUCCAUAGUGAUCUUCUCCUACUUCCACACGGGAAUAGGCAAACUCUGAAGUUUUCUCGCGGGAAUUCGAUGCUCAGCCUUUACUUGUUGGCAAGUUAGACAACGAGCUACAAACUCGCCAACGUCCUUUUUCAUCCCGGGCCACCAAUAAAGCAACUUUAAAUCCUUAUACAUCUUGGUGCUUUCCGGAUGUAUAGCAUACGGUGCUCGGUGUGCUUUUUGAAGAAUAUCCUCUUUAAUUUCCGAAUCCGCCGGUACACAAAUCCAUCCACGAAAACGCAUCAAUCCUUGGUCAUCUACAAGGAAAUCGCCGGUGCAACCAUCAACCAUUUUACCUUUAAUCCUUUGCAACUCCGCAUCGGAAGCUUGCUUUUUUUUUAUUCUAUCCAACAAGGUAGGUUGCACCACCAACGUCAUCAACCUCAAGGGCGUGUCAGGAGUCACCACCUCCAACCUCAAUCGCUUCAACUGCUCGAUCAACUGCGGUUGAGUAACAAUAUGCAUCGCUAAGUUUUCCGUCGAUUUCCUACUUAGCGCAUCCGCCACCACGUUAGCCUUGCCCGGGUGGUAUAGGAUAGUCAGGUCGUAAUCCUUGAGCAGCUCCAACCAUCUGCGCUGUCUCAAAUUCAACUCCUUCUGAGUAAACAGAUACCUUAAGCUCUUGUGAUCCGUGUACACUUCACACCGCUCGCCAUAAAGAUAGUGGCGCCAUAGCUUCAAUGUGAAAACUACGGCCGCAAACUCCAAAUCAUGCGUCGGAUAGUUCUUUUCACAAUCCUUCAACUAGCGAGAAGCAUACGCGAUCACCUUGCCAUCCUGCAUCAACACACAAUCCAAUCCAUUAAGUGAAGCAUCACUAUAAACCACAUACCCCGCUCAAGCAACCGGCAGGGUUAGGAUCGGGGCGGUCGUCAAUCUUUGAUUCAACUCUUGGAAGCUCUUUUCACACGCGUCGUUCCAAAUAAACUUGACUCCUUUAUGCGUGAACCUCGUGAGGCGAGUAGAUAGCUUAGCAAACCCCUCUACAAAUCUCCGGUAGUAGUCGGCUAACCCAAGGAAGCUCCGUAUCUCUGUGACGCUCGUCGGUCUCGGCCAAUCCUUGAUUGCCUUAAUCUUCUUCGAAUCCACGGCUAUACCCGCUCCCGAUAUUAAAUGUCCAAGGAAGGCGACCUCUCGAAGCCAAAAUUCACACUUUUUCAGCUUCGCAUAAAGCUCCUUUUCCCGAAUUACUUGAAGUACAAGCCUCAAAUGCUCCUCGUGAUCUGCAUCACUUCGCGAAUAGACCAAAAUGUCGUCGAUGAAUACCACGACGAACCUGUCUAGAUAGGGCUUAAAAAUACGGUUCAUUAGAUCCAUAAAAGCUGCCGAGGCAUUAGUAAGCCCAAACAGCAUAACAGUGAACUCAUAAUGUCCAUAUCGUGUUCUAAAAGCCGUCUUCGAAACAUCCUUGGGUUUGAUUUUUAACUGGUGGUAUCCCGACUGCAAGUCUAUCUUGGAAUACACAAACGAUCCCUGAAGCUGAUCAAACAAAUCGUCGAUCCUCGGCAACGGAUACUUAUUCUUGAUCGUGACUUUAUUAAGUUCACGAUAGUCCACGCAUAGGCGAAGUGAUCCGUCCUUUUUCUUGACGAACAAAACUGGUGCUCCCCAAGGCAAGACGCUCGGUCGAAUGAAGCCUUUAUCCAGAAGAUCCUGCAGCUGUGCCCUCAGCUCCUUUAGCUCCGUCGGUGCCAUCCUAUAGGGUACUUUCGAGAUUGGAGCAGUCCUAGGGACGAGAUCUACCACAAACUCGAUCUCCCUAUCGGGUGGCAUACCCGGUAGCUUGGCUGAAAACACGUCACAAAACUCCCGCACCACCGGGAUAUCCUCAAUCCUAGGGGCAUCACCCUCGCCCCUCAACACAACACUAGCCAAGUAGGCUACACUACCUCUGCUGAUCAGUUGCCUAGCUCGAGACGAGCUGAUCGUCAUCGCAAAAAGCGAACUCUGGCAUCAUCUAAAUAUCACCUCAACUUGCCCCGGUUCUCUAAAAGUAACCGUGCAAUUUUUGCAAUCAAUCGUGGCAUAAUACUUGGUUAGCCAAUCCAUACCCAAAACCACAUUGAACUCCCCUAGCUUGCGCAAGGCUAGUAAGUACACGGGCAUGAUCUAAUCCCCAACCCGAAUGGUGCAACUGGGGUGGUACUCCCUCAUAUCCAAAAUGUGGUCGGGUACUACAACCUGUCCUGAAUGCAACAAAGAAACCAACUCGAUGCCAUGUAACUCGGCGAACAACCGAUCUAUGAAUGAAUGUGAUGCACCGGUAUCAAAUAAUGCACGAACUCUAAUGCCAUCAAGUAAAAUGAUACCUGCGACCACAUCCUCGACUGCUGCCGCCUCCUCGGUCUGAGCGGCAUACAUACGCCCACUCGGGGCCUGUCGAGAACCCUCGCUCUGGCGCUGGACAGGUGGCCGCCCAGGCUGGUACUUCGCCGAUGGAGUCCCCUGGCUGGCGGCUGGUAGAGCCGGUGCCGAUGCAGUCGAUGGUGUCGGUGACGAUCUCCUCAGGCACUCAGUCCGGAAGUGGCCCUCCUGGCCACACAAGUAGCACCUGCCUCCCCGCUGUGGACAUUGCGGUGGAGUGUGAGGACCACCACAGAUCACGUUGUCACGCCCCGGGGCUCAGCGGAAGCCUACCCGGCGCGUGUCCAGACCCGCCAUACGUCUAAAACAUAUAAGGCGUCUACAAAAAAAUUUCGAUAGAUAAAACAAUAAUACAAGAGAUCUAGUGAUAUCAGAGCAUUAUAUAACUAGUUCUAUAACAAGGAAAGGACAUAAAGCUGAAAGUCCACUAAAUAAAAAUAUAAAGUAAGUACAAUAGGGAUCCCAUAACAAGUGCUAAAAGGAGUACAAGGUGGUCUCUCUAUACAUGGUACAAAACCUCUCCAUCUCUCUCAAAAUAUAAAAUGGAGGAGUAACCACCUAGCGCAAAAGGACUCUCCGCGAGCUAGCUACGCGACACCCUUGCAGCGAUCCCGUGCCUCCGUCGGUGCCGAAGGCUCUGAAAAGGAAACAUAGAAACAGGGGCGUGAGAACUAUUAAAUAAUAGUUCCCAGUGGGCAAUUACUGACUUCAGUGAAAUGCACCACUAGGCCCGAAACUAUAAAAAAAGGGUCAGUGUACAUUAUAACAAAAGCGAUAAAUGCACUGUAAGUAAAUAAAUAAACGAGUACCCAAUAAUCAUGAUACCUCUACUUAGCAUAAUUUACAUAUGUAAGGAAGCAACUACUAGCUAUAUGCACAUGAACACCCAACAUAUAAAGCAUGAUUAUGCAACUACCCAAAGUUCCCAAUGUAAUAGUAAAGAUGUCAUUGUUUACUAUUCUAGUCCAAGUCCACUUUAACAGUUAUAAAGUUCACAUAGCAUGUUCUGUCACCAAGUCCCAAUCAUAUAAGACCCACCCGAAGGCUGUCUGGCCUGCGCCGUGCCUAAUGGCCCCGUGGUAGUCAACAUCCCCACUCUAGGAAUGAGCCUCCCCCACGGCAAUCCACUUCGGCGCCCAAUCCCGCACGGGCGAGCAUAUGUCGCGAUGGCUAUCUCCGGAGUGCCGGCUUGUAGGGAGCGACCCUCACAAGCAUGUGCGAAUGAGCACAAUGGCAAGCAAGCAAUGAUCCGUCUCAAGAAUCAAGUCCUUAUGUCCAACAAUAUGGAAUAUGUCAAGUAUCUCAAUGGCCUAUGAUCAUGUCUCUAACAUGGAAUAUAGCAGAUACGUAGUGGCCUAUCAAUAUGUCUCUAUGUUGCAGUUUAAUAGUUUACUAGUUUCAAAUGCCCCUUGAUGACACUCUUGUUUUCUAUGUCAAAUCAUGGCAACAAUGUUCCAAAGUACAUAUUCCAAGUCAUAAUCCUCAUAAGAGAUGUAUUUUCCACUUGCAAAAAUAAACACUUUUCCCAUAUGCAUGCAUUCAACUCAUAUAGCUCUACUAUAUAGUGAAAUUUUUAUUAUACACAAGGCAUGCAUUUUAAGUGUUCUAAAAUUCAUAUAAAUUCCAUUUAGCAUAGAAAUAAAUUUAAAAAUAUUUUACAACAAGUAGAAAGAGCAUAGGGGUCAUUUCGCCCAAUUUCCACGAAGCCAAACCCACCGAUGACGACGAAACUCCUCGUUCGCUCCAACGAGGGUGUCCUCUAGUCUCCUAAUACCCUAAGGAUGUGAAACGAAGAGUUACAAUCAUCGGGUGAAUAACUCCUAGGUUAAACAUUAACGAAUACAAGAAAAGGGGCAAAACUCACCUUGUGAGGUGAUAUCUUCUCUCAAUCUCCUAAUGAGAGUGAAAACCCUUCAAAUCCAACCUAAUGGAAGCCUCUAAUCCACUCAAUCUAGCUUCAAAAGCCCUAGAUUCAAAAUGCCCAAUUUAAGCCCUAAAACCUCAUUCUAGGGUUUCAUCACAAAGAGGCCAAUAAAAAUCUAAUUUAGAGGAAGAGGAUGAGCUACUAACCUUUAAGAAGUUUCAAACAAUGAUCAAAAUCCUCCAAGAGUGGAGAUCUCCCUCACCCCAAGCUCCAAGAUCAAGCUCCAAUGGUGGAAAAGCUUCCAACAAGCAAAGAAGCAAAAAGGAGGGUUUAAUCCACCAAAAUCCAAGCUAAAAAGGGAUGAAAUCCAAAGAGAUGGUGAGGAGGGGUGCCCUACCUUCUCCUCCCUGUGAUCUGAGCUCAAGAGGUGCCCUAAGGGGCGUGGGUGCUAAAUAGAUUAGACACAAACGCGAAAAACCCCCUGCAGUUCGGACUGCACGAAAACUGCCUCCUUGUACCGGUACACGGGCUCUUGUACCGGUACAAGGCCCACGAAAAUGCAAACCCGAGGCUCGGGUCGCGGGGUCUGCGGCUCUGUACCGGUACAAGCCCGAUGGCUGUACCGGUACAACCAUCAACCUUGUACCGGUACAAGAUGAGUCUUGUUCCGGUACAAGCUCUGCUGCAGGCUACCCGAGAGCUGACAAAAAAUUUCGGUUUUGGGAUUUUGGUGCCAAGUCUCACUCCAACAUCCUCGGGAUGCGUGCCAGGGGUCGGAACACUAACAACGACCCUCCAAAAACUGUGGAAAGGCUCCCCACACAGAUCAAACACUCGAAUCUUGCGAUUUGCAAGAUCCACCGCAUUACACACGCACUGGGGAGGUCGGCGUCGAUCAGGACCUCCUCGCUGCGCUGCCGGGCCGCGCCCACGCUGCUGGCUCCUAGGGUGUUUCGACGGCCUCCUAGAGUGCGUCUCGCUCGCAGCCUCCGCCGCAGGCCUCUUGGCCUUACCCCUGUCAAAGCCCUCUCGCCGCUCCUGCAUCUCUGCAGCGCCGCUCUCCACGAUGAGCGCGCGAUCCACCAACUCCCGGUAGGUUUGGAGGUUUGAGGAUUGCACGAACCGGAAAAUCGACGGUCGCAACCUCGCUCGAAGAUGCCGGCCUUGUCCUCGUCGUCCCGCACGACGAAAGGUACGCAGUGAAGAAGCUGAGAAAACUCUCUCUCGUACUCGGCCACAGUGCGGUCUCCCUGGCGCAAGUUGCACAGAUCCUGCUCCAUAUUCCUCUUGACGCUGGUCGGGAAGUAGUGCGCCAGUAGAAGCUCCUUGAACCUCUUCCAAUUAAUAGUUGCCAAGUCGGUGCUGGGGUUUUCCUGAAGAUCCAACCACCAGCGAUAGGCCUCGCCGUCCAGAUGGUGAGUGGCGAGCCAAACUCGAUCUCUCUCCUCCACGAAGGUGUCGCGGAAGAGCUUCUCCAUAUGCAUCAACCACUUUUCCACGAUCCAGUGGUCGACCUUCUCGCUGUCAAAGACCUGGGCAUUGCACCUCCUGAACUCGUUGAGGCGCUCCAUCAGUCGGUCCCGCUCCGCCCCCUCAACUAACACGGGAAAAACAGCUUCAAUCAGGGGUGCCUGAAUAGGUGGCGCCGCCAAAGCCUCCUCCUGAGGCGCGGCCACGGGCGCCGCACGCGACGAACUGGACGCAGGGGACGGCGCUCUCGGCGCGACAUCCACAACUGGUGUUGGCGGUGUAGGGGCCUGGAUCUCCCUAGAAGCUGCCGCCUGCUGUAGAAGAAGGUCCUCCAGGUGCUUCAUCCGCGCCUUCUGUCGGCGCGCCGCAUCGGCCUGCUGUUGGGCCGCCGCUGCCUGCUGAGCCACGAGAUCAGUAAGAGUAGCAAGCUAGCUCCUCAACUCGCGGACCUCGCCGGAUCCGGAGGUAGCGGAGGUCUCGACCUCCUCCAAGUUUGCCGCAUUAUCCGCCCCGGCAGAUUGAGAGCGUGUAAUCGGCAAGUCACUACAACAUCAUAAAAGCGUAAGUUAGUAAAACCCACACUAUCGCAUCCC